Molecule: ribosomal RNA, 1497 nt
Filed under: uncultured bacterium
Lineage: Bacteria
Description: bacterial SSU rRNA
Rfam family: Bacterial small subunit ribosomal RNA
Source: RNAcentral
AGAGUUUGAUCCUGGCUCAGAUUGAACGCUGGCGGCAGGCUUAACACAUGCAAGUCGAACGGGGAGAUGUAGCUUGCUACAUUUCCUAGCGGCGGACGGGUGAGUAAUACCUAGGAAUCUGCCUAUUAGUGGGGGACAACAUUCCGAAAGGAAUGCUAAUACCGCAUACGCCCUACGGGGGAAAGCAGGGGACCUUCGGACCUUGCGCUAAUAGAUAAGCCUAAGUCAGAUUAGCUAGUUGGUAGGGUAAAGGCCUACCAAGGCGACGAUCUGUAGCGGGUCUGAGAGGAUGAUCCGCCACACUGGGACUGAGACACGGCCCAGACUCCUACGGGAGGCAGCAGUGGGGAAUAUUGGACAAUGGGCGCAAGCCUGAUCCAGCCAUGCCGCGUGUGUGAAGAAGGCCUUUUGGUUGUAAAGCACUUUAAGCGAGGAGGAGGCUACUUGGAUUAAUACUCUAGGAUAGUGGACGUUACUCGCAGAAUAAGCACCGGCUAACUCUGUGCCAGCAGCCGCGGUAAUACAGAGGGUGCAAGCGUUAAUCGGAAUUACUGGGCGUAAAGCGCGCGUAGGCGGUAUGUUAAGUCGGAUGUGAAAUCCCUGAGCUUAACUUAGGAAUUGCAUUCGAUACUGGGAAGCUAGAGUAUGGGAGAGGAUGGUAGAAUUCCAGGUGUAGCGGUGAAAUGCGUAGAGAUCUGGAGGAAUACCGAUGGCGAAGGCAGCCUUCUGGCCUAACACUGACGCUGAGGUGCGAAAGCAUGGGGAGCAAACAGGAUUAGAUACCCUGGUAGUCCAUGCCGUAAACGAUGUCAACUAGCCGUUGGGCUCCUUGAGGGCUUAGUGGCGCAGCUAACGCGAUAAGUUGACCGCCUGGGGAGUACGGUCGCAAGACUAAAACUCAAAUGAAUUGACGGGGGCCCGCACAAGCGGUGGAGCAUGUGGUUUAAUUCGAUGCAACGCGAAAAACCUUACCCACCUUUGACAUGUACGGAAGUUGCCAGAGAUGGCUUCGUGCUCGAAAGAGAACCGUAACACAGGUGCUGCAUGGCUGUCGUCAGCUCGUGUCGUGAGAUGUUGGGUUAAGUCCCGCAACGAGCGCAACCCUUGCCAUUAGUUGCUACGAAAGGGCACUCUAAUGGGACUGCCGGUGACAAACCGGAGGAAGGUGGGGAUGACGUCAAGUCCUCAUGGCCCUUAUAGGUGGGGCUACACACGUCAUACAAUGGCCGGUACAAAGGGCAGCCAACCCGCGAGGGGGAGCCAAUCCCACAAAGCCAGUCGUAGUCCGGAUCGCAGUCUGCAACUCGACUGCGUGAAGUCGGAAUCGCUAGUAAUCGUGGAUCAGAAUGUCACGGUGAAUACGUUCCCGGGUCUUGUACACACCGCCCGUCACACCAUGGGAGCGGGUUCUGCCAGAAGUAGGUAGCCUAACCGUAAGGAGGGCGCUUACCACGGCAGGGUUCGUGACUGGGGUGAAGUCGUAACAAGGUAACCGUA